Molecule: ribosomal RNA, 468 nt
Filed under: uncultured bacterium
Lineage: Bacteria
Description: partial 16S ribosomal RNA
Rfam family: Bacterial small subunit ribosomal RNA
Source: RNAcentral
GACGAACGCUGGCGGCGUGCUUAACACAUGCAAGUCGAACGGAAAGGCCCUGCUUUUGUUGGUUGCUCGAGUGGCGAACGGGUGAGUAACACGUGUGUAACCUGCCCUUGACUUUGGGAUAACUUCAGGAAACUGGGGCUAAUACCGGAUAGGAGCUCCUGCUGCAUGGUGGGGGUUGGAAAGUUUCGGCGGUUGGGGAUGGACUCGCGGCUUAUCAGCUUGUUGGUGGGGUAGUGGCUUACCAAGGCUUUGACGGGUAGCCGGCCUGAGAGGGUGACCGGCCACAUUGGGACUGAGAUACGGCCCAGACUCCUACGGGAGGCAGCAGUGGGGAAUAUUGCACAAUGGGCGGAAGCCUGAUGCAGCAACGCCGCGUGCGGGAUGACGGCCUUCGGGUUGUAAACCGCUUUCGCCUGUGACGAAGCGUGAGUGACGGUAAUGGGUAAAGAAGCACCGGCUAACUACGUG